GACGAACGCUGGCGGCGUGCCUAAUACAUGCAAGUAGAACGCAGUUUCGAACGGGUGAGUAACGCGUAGGUAACUGCCUCAUAGCGGGGGAUAACUAUUUGAAACGAUAGCUAAUACCGCAUACUUUGAGAUGGACCUGCGUUGUUUUAGCUAGUUGGUGAGGUAAAGGCUCACCAAGGCGACGAUAAAUAGCCGACCUGGGAGGGGGAUCGGGCAAACUGGGACUUGGAAACGGCCCAGACUCCUACGGGAGGCAGCAGUAGGGAAUCUUCGGCAAUGGGCGGAAGUCUGACCGAGCAAAGCCGCGGGAGUGAAGAAGGUUUUCGGAUCGUAAAGCUCUGUUGUGAGAGAAGCGGUAACUAAACAGAAAGGGACGGCUAACUACGUGCCAGCAGCCGCGGUAAUAC
Molecule: ribosomal RNA, 407 nt
Filed under: uncultured bacterium
Lineage: Bacteria
Description: partial 16S ribosomal RNA
Rfam family: Bacterial small subunit ribosomal RNA
Source: RNAcentral